CCUACGGGAGGCAGCAGUGAGGAAUAUUGGUCAAUGGGCUUACGCCUGAACCAGCCAAGUCGCGUGAGGGAAGACUGCCCUAUGGGUUGUAAACCUCUUUUGUCAGGGAGCAACGCCGGCUACGUGUAGCCGGACUGAGAGUACCUGAAGAAAAAGCAUCGGCUAACUCCGUGCCAGCAGCCGCGGUAAUACGGAGGAUGCGAGCGUUCUCCGGAUUUAUGGGGUUUAAAGGGUGCGUAGGCGGAAUGCCAAGUCAGCGGUAAAAUCGCGGGGCUCAACCUCGCUCCGCCGUUGACACUGGCGUUCUUGAGUGGGCGAGAAGUAUGCGGAAUGCGUGGUGUAGCGGUGAAAUGCAUAGAUAUCACGCAGAACUCCGAUUGCGAAGGCAGCAUACCGGCGCCCAACUGACGCUGAAGCACGAAAGCGUGGGUAUCGAACAGGAUUAGAUACCCUUGUAGUC
Molecule: ribosomal RNA, 460 nt
Filed under: uncultured bacterium
Lineage: Bacteria
Description: partial 16S ribosomal RNA
Rfam family: Bacterial small subunit ribosomal RNA
Source: RNAcentral